ACAUCGUAAAACAAAUCAUCGAAAUCUCAUUCUGUCUUUCUCAAACUUUCACAAUCUCUUUCAAAUCACUUACUUGAGCUACCUUCAUUCAAUUACCGCUUAGUAGGACACUCUCUUAACUUUUAUAACUUUCAUACUCUUUGGGCUUCUCGCCAAUGCGUCCUUCACCCACUUAUCUCAUAACUAUAUAAACAUCAACGGCAAAACGACGUCCCCGGCGUCAGUGGUUAGUCGGAAAUGGCAGAGGAAAAGGUAAGGAACAAAACCCAAGUGCUGGCUUCACCGGAAACCGGCGAAAUCACGGCGAAUCGAGGCGGCGAUUCCGCGGAACUUCAAAGCUUUGAUCGGUGGCUUUCCGAUCGAUUUCCAGCGGUAAGGACGGCAUGGAUACGUUGCUCGUCUCUCAAGCUUCAAAUCGGUACCAACCUUGACCGGAACGGUGGCCGGAAAUAGGAGAACCGGCCGGGUCGUGCUCGCAGGUCGGGUUGGAUCCGGUUCGGUUUCUCUUCUCUCUCUCUCUCUCAAUUUAUAUGGGUGGUCAACAGGGUCAAAAUCGGGUGUGGGGCAUUACAAACUCCCCCCCUUCAAAGAAUUUCGUCCUCGAAAUUCACUUGUAGUCAUGCUCACAGAAUUUAAACCUCAAGAAUUACUUGUGAUCUAUAAAUCCUUAUAAAGAUCAAAACCAACCAUAUCACACUGUCGCUGCGCUACUCUGAUACCUCAAAAAUAUAUCGUUCUUAGUAACAGAAUCACAAGUCCUAAUGGUUUGGCAUAGACUUAAUUCUAAUCAUCCUUGAAAUAUAUUUCCCAAGCGAUGGCGAAUGUGACUUCCAUCCGCACAUUUUCGGUUGGGAAUGCUCUGAUACCAUUUGUAACGACCCGCCCCGACCUCCACAGGGCAAAUCUUACUGAUAGAUGUUUAAAAAUAAAAUAAUAAUAAAUAAGAAUAAUCCUUUUACAAUCCAUAAAAAUCAUAUCCUUGAAAAUACAAAUAUAAAACGCAAACUGCAGCAGAAGAAUUUAAAAUUCAUGCCAAACCAUCUAAUUUCUCCAUUCAAGUUCUUCUCGACGCUCAUCACGAAUCAAUCCUGAUUUACGGAAACUGAAUCACAAUAAACUAUAAUGAGUACGAAACUCAGUAAGUAAACUAGUUUUGCAUAUACCAAAAUACAUACAUACAUAUAUAUAGUGCACAUGAAUGACGUGCCAUGAUAUUCGAAAACAUCGUAAAACAAAUCAUCGAAAUCUCAUUCUGUCUUUCUCAAACUUUCACAAUCUCUUUCAAAUCACUUACUUGAACUACUUUCAUUCAAUUACCGCUUAGUAGGACACUCUCUUAACUUUCAUAACUUUCAUACUCUUUGGGCUUCUCGCCAAUGCGUCCUUCGCCCACUUAUCUUAAAACUAUAUAAACAUCUAGAGUAUCCUCCACUAAGCCAGUAACUAAUUCAAGCAUCCAAGCUAAAACUAUAAAACAAUCUUUCUUUCUUCAAAUUUCGUUUGCUAAAAUCAACUUUCUCAUUUUACAGAAAAUAUAAUGCAUUUUUGUGCUCAUGCCAAUGAAAUAUUCACACAUACGUAUGCCCAUGUCCAUAAAUACACAUAACAACAUAUCAUAUCAACACAUCACAUAAACACAUGGGCAAAACAUAUAAAUCAAUAUUCGGACAUAUACAAAAAUAGGCUUUUCAAACAUGUCAAACAUAUAUAUUGUUUAUUGUGAUUCGUUUGGAAAUCUAAUUUACUUACCUCCUGGCAUCCUCGAGUAACAAAUGCAUAUCGUUAUCAUCGGCGUAAAAAUAAAUAAAAAUACUCUCAUAAGAAUAAAAUUAAACCAUAAUCAUAAACUCCAAUAUUCUCAAAUUCUCAAUAUAAUCACAUUCCAUACUUAACCUCAAAUAAUCUUAAUUUAAAUCAUAAAUCAUCAAAAUACUCAUAAUUCUUGAAAUUACGAAAUUACCCCCAAAUUUCAAAAUUACCAAAAUGCCCUUGAAUUCAAUAUUACCAAAAUACCCUCAUAUAUCAAAAUUACCAAAUUAACCUCAAAAUCAUAAAUUACCAACUUUAUCCUCAAUUUCAGCAAUUACUAAAAUACCCACAAAAUCUGAAAUUACAAAAUUGCCCUUAGACUGUGAAAUUGCCGAAAUACCCUUGCCGGUCAACGGUCACCGGAAUUUGGUCAACACUGGCCAGGAAGCUCAAAUCUUAAAGUGCUAAUCACGCUGAGUUCAAUGGUGGCGGUGAUGACCUCCCACGCGCGGUGAUGGCUCCGGAUUGAGCUCCCGAAGUCGUGAAACUGUCAACGGCCGAUCAAUGGCAAAACGACGUCCCCGGCGUCAGUGGUUAGUCAGAAAUGGCAGAGGAAAAGGUAAGGAACAAAACCCAAGUACUGGCUUCACCGGAAACCGGUGAAAUCACGGCGAAUCGAGGCGGCGAUUCCGCGGAACUUCAAAGCUUCGAUCGGUGGCUUUCCGAUCGAUUUCCGGCGGCAAGGACGGCAUGGAUACAUUGCUCGUCUCUCAAGCUUCAAAUCUGUACCAACCUUGACCGGAACGGUGGCCGGAAAUGGGAGAACCAGCCGGGUCGUGCUCGCGGGUCGGGUUGGAUCCGGUUCGGUUUCUCUUCUCUCUCUCUUCUCUUCUCU
RNAcentral lists this long non-coding RNA (2644 nucleotides) under Citrus maxima (pomelo). RNAcentral describes it as "long non-coding RNA (CMAX_LNC003762)". The record is from RNAcentral. Lineage: Eukaryota; Viridiplantae; Streptophyta; Magnoliopsida; Sapindales; Rutaceae.